ACCUCACUUAUUUUUAGUGUCAUAGAAGAGCACUAUGGUCAUCUAUCAUGACCCACAUUACACAAGCUGGAGAGCAGCCUUGAAUAUUGCUCAGGGUCUGGUGGGGGUUUAUUUAGUUGUUUUUGUUGGUCAUGGUUUUUAUUUUGCUUCCUUCCUCUGUUUAAGUUGUAGUCAGAGGACUCACCUCGGGUUAAAGGUACUGCAUGAUGAUGAAUCCCCUGCAUCUUCGGUGGAAUGCUCCAGCAGGGCUGGAUGCGAUCAUCUUCUCAGUAAGACCUUUCUGGCUAAAAUUUAACCUGGAAGAGAGUGAAAUUGCAUUGGAAAAGCUUGCAGGAUUGGUCCGCAAGCUGUCUGGAGGGUAACAUCAGAUCAGAAAAAAGUAUUUCCAAAAGUGUUGCUGAUAAUGCCCCACUGAUAGAGAGAUGCUUUGGAUAUGGUUUCUGGAGAUGAUGUCUCCAGCCUGGGCCAAGCAGGACUCAGUAAUUUGGGAGAUCAGAUGUUCAUCAGAGCUCAUUUUGCUUUUGAAGAUGUGUGCUGGUCUCCUUUCAAAGCCAACCAUCGGUGUCUCAGAAAUAGGACUGGAGAGCUUUGGACACCCUAGAAAGUACGGCCGUAAUUUAGAUGCUCAGCUGGUGGUUUAGUAUCUUUGAAGAUCCGAUUCAACCUGUAGCUUGAUUUCUUCCCUCAGAGUAUAGAUUUCAUUUUCCCAAGCUAAAAUCCAACUCAGUCCUGUUGUGGAGCAACCCAGACUGUCUGACAAUGCAUACACACAUGGUGGGCUUGCCCUUCUGCACCAGUUAGUAACAGAAGAUUGAUCUAUCUGCCUUAAGUGUGCAAUUGGGCUUAUCAAAUCCCCCUUCAUGAAAGUCCGUGUGGCACAUGUAUUCAUCUCGUUUACUGGCCCUGAUGCUCGUGAUGUGACCAAACACUGGACAAAGCCAGCCUCUGACACACACCAGCCAUCUGCUUGUUCCCUUUUGGAAAACAAGUGCAGAAUCAAAGAGGUGCAAAAUAGAGAUAUUUUUUUUUCUUUUUUUUUUUUCUUUUUGUUUUGAAAUAUUUUUUUUAAGAUAGAUGUCAGUGAGAGAGAAAAUAGACCUUUGUAUGAGUACAGUGGACACAGAGACAUGCAUGCAGGUGAAAAGGCU
Molecule: long non-coding RNA, 1148 nt
Filed under: Anas platyrhynchos platyrhynchos (common mallard)
Lineage: Eukaryota; Metazoa; Chordata; Aves; Anseriformes; Anatidae
Description: lncRNA (ENSAPLG00000025406.1)
Source: RNAcentral